Long non-coding RNA from Rhinopithecus roxellana (golden snub-nosed monkey), 157 nucleotides. RefSeq lists it as uncharacterized. The transcript has 3 exons. The record is from RefSeq and is a predicted model, not a curated record. Lineage: Eukaryota; Metazoa; Chordata; Mammalia; Primates; Cercopithecidae.
GCUGGAGUGCCCUCUGCUACAACAGUUGCCCCUGGGAGCUCCAACUCAGAGACCACAACCUCUGUAGGAGAAAGUGGAAUAACAAGUGCUGAAAUAGUCACAGGUACUACUGAGGGCAUCUCUGGCAAAACUCUGGAAGCUGGAAGUGCCCAAACAG